UUGGGAAACUUGAUGUUGGCAGCUUGGGAGCUUGUGGGCUGAGAAGGAAACCUGACCCAAGCAGGGAAUUCCUGCUGAUUGGAGUUGCUGUGCAGAUUGAUUUAGUAUCUACUUAAGGCAGUGCUUGUUGUCCUGGAAGUGAGCUGAAUUAAACCAUCGAAUUGGAGUUUUCAGCAGAGAGGAGUUGAGUGGAGUGCUGAAUUGAAAUUACAGCUGAGGAAAAAUCUGGGAGAAGUUUGAAUCCUGACUUGCAAGUGGGUGUUGUUGGUGCUGUCGAAUUCAUGAACUCAGCUGAAAAAGCACCAAAUUUGCAGAAUUCGAAGAGGAGGUCUGGUGCAAGCAGGGAAUUCCUGAUAUUGUAGCUGCUAAGCCACUUGAUAUUAUACUUAGUUAAGGUCGACGACGCGCUAAUUACGAUUGAGGCCGUUCUAGUUCUAUUUGCACUGACUCGCAAGAGCGUGUUGUCGACACACUUCGAGACGUGAGAUUCUAGUUGUUGACACCACUACAGGUUCCAGUGCGAGCGGUGUGGCCGAGGAUCGUGGCAAGAGCCCCGCAGCUUAGCUAGUUGACACCAGAGUAUAGUAGUUACCAUUUUGAGUUCAUGUGAGACAUUUUGAUGUACAGAGACAUGUAAAUGAAUGUAUCCUAAAACAUGUAAAUAACUAAGUGUUUCAGUUAUACAGUUCAGUUUGAAAGUUUUAAAUUACA
Molecule: long non-coding RNA, 711 nt
Organism: Ananas comosus (pineapple)
Lineage: Eukaryota; Viridiplantae; Streptophyta; Magnoliopsida; Poales; Bromeliaceae
Exons: 5
Source: RefSeq, a predicted model, not a curated record